Molecule: ribosomal RNA, 808 nt
Filed under: uncultured bacterium
Lineage: Bacteria
Description: bacterial SSU rRNA
Rfam family: Bacterial small subunit ribosomal RNA
Source: RNAcentral
AGAGUUUGAUUCUGGCUCAGGAUGAACGCUAGCGGCGUGCCUAACACAUGCAAGUCGAACGGGGUACCCGAAACGGAGACUUCGGUUGAAGUUUUGGACUACUUAGUGGCGGACGGGUGAGUAACGCGUGAGCAAUCUGCCUCACAGAGGGGGAUAACACAGAGAAAUUUGUGCUAAUACCGCAUAACAUACAGAGAAGACAUCUUUUUUGUAUCAAAGAUUUAUCGCUGUGAGAUGAGCUCGCGUCUGAUUAGCUAGUUGGUGGGGUAACGGCCUACCAAGGCGACGAUCAGUAGCCGGGCUGAGAGGUUGAACGGCCACAUUGGGACUGAGACACGGCCCAGACUCCUACGGGAGGCAGCAGUGGGGAAUAUUGCGCAAUGGGGGGAACCCUGACGCAGCAACGCCGCGUGAAGGAAGAAGGCCUUCGGGUUGUAAACUUUUGUCUUUAGGGAAGAUAGUGACGGUACCUAAGGAGGAAGCCACGGCUAACUACGUGCCAGCAGCCGCGGUAAUACGUAGGUGGCAAGCGUUAUCCGGAUUUACUGGGUGUAAAGGGAGCGUAGGCGGGACUUUAAGUCAGAUGUGAAAUACCGGGGCUCAACCCCGGGGCUGCAUUUGAAACUGGAGUUCUUGAGUGUCGGAGAGGUAAGUGGAAUUCCUAGUGUAGCGGUGAAAUGCGUAGAUAUUAGGAGGAACACCAGUGGCGAAGGCGACUUACUGGACGAUAACUGACGCUGAGGCUCGAAAGUGUGGGGAGCAAACAGGAUUAGAUACCCUGGUAGUCCACACCGUAAACGAUGGAUAC